GCCUUUUACUUUUAGGAGCUGAUUCACAAAAGCAGAAUUUAUAAAUCCAGGAUAACCGAUAAAACAAGGCUUGACCUAGUCUAAUCUGUGCAGCCUGGCUUGGUGCAUUUCACAAAUGCCAAGCCAGACUGAGGCGGAGCGACUAGGUCGAGCCAGGCUGAAGUAUUCUGGAUAGAUGCGCGUUCACAGCUUUCCACUACGAGGUCUUUAACAGGUUUACUCAUUUUAA
Etheostoma cragini (Arkansas darter) is the source of this 229-nucleotide long non-coding RNA. RefSeq lists it as uncharacterized. The transcript has 3 exons. Lineage: Eukaryota; Metazoa; Chordata; Actinopteri; Perciformes; Percidae. The record is from RefSeq and is a predicted model, not a curated record.